AUUUAAUGUUGUUUAUUUCUUCAUUAACCUUUAUUAUUUUCUUCUUUCUGAUUGCUUCAGAAUUAAUUUGUUCUCAUUUUUAUAAUAACAAGUUGGAAGCUUUCAUCAUAAUUUCAAGGUAAUUUUUCUUUUCUAAUGCAAGCUCUUAAUGGGAUAGAUUUUUCCCUAAACACAGAAAUUUCCACAUUUUGAUAUGUUAUACUUUUUCAAAUUUCUCUUACUUUUGGUUAGGUUCAUGUUUAAAUAUACAUAUGUGCAAGAAUAUUUUCCCUUGAUUUAUAUGGAUUUAGAGGUUAAAAAAAGGCAAAAAAAAUAUUUUGGAAAUUUCUAGGAGACUUAGUUCACCAUAAUUGUUACAUAAUUGUGCAUAUGUUGCAAGUAAUGUAUUGAGAAAAGUAUUUAUAUCUGUAUACAUGUUUGGUCCUUAAUGAUGAAAUUAAUGCACAGUUGUCUAACUGUAAUAAUUUCCUUAUAAUCACACUAGUUUUCCUUUGGUGCCACAAGAUGAUGAAUCUCACUUUAGUGUGACCAAGCAAAAUGAGGUACAAAAACAGUCCAAUCAAUGUGAAAAUAUCUCAAAUUCACAUGAAUUUUAAAAAUAUUUUAUAUGUAAAUUAAAUUAGAAAUUAAAUAUAUAUAAUAUAUUUUAUUUCAGAAAUAUUUGCUUGCCUUUUGGAACUCAAAGUUCAAAACCUUCUAUUGUCAUCUUUAAAUAACUAAUUUUUAAGUUAAUUUCUACUUGGUUCUAUGAAAAUACUACCACACAAUGUGGAGAUAAAGAAAACAUUUACAGAAAAAUUGUCCAUAUGGACACAUUUUAAACAGAUGAUCUAAUUAGCAUAAUAGCCACCAAACUGGUAAAUAAACAGUUUUGUUGAUUUGCUGCUUAAUCAGCAUCUAUUCAGAAUUCUGUAAUAUUGUUUAGUAAAACAGUUUAUUUCCAUCCAUAAAUGUAUUUUAUAAAUUUAUGCCCAGUAAACUUCCAGGUAAACCAUCGAAAUAUUAACUGUUUUCUACAAGUGGUGGUCUUUUUUUUUAAGCUGGUUUCUAUAAUGAAUUGAUGAGAGUGAAUGAAGAUUAAAAUGCUUAUUCUGUAAUAAAAGCCAAUGCCAGCAUGCCGAUAUAUAAUCUCUAUAGAUCAAAAAAUAUUCGGCCGGGCGCGGUGGCUCACGCCUGUAAUCCCAGCACUUUGGGAGGCAGAGGCGGGCGGAUCAUGAGGUCAGGAGAUCGAGACCAUCCUGGCUAACGCGGUGAAACCCCGCCUCUACUAAAAAUACAAAAAAUUAGCCGGGCGUGGUGGCGGGCGCCUGUGGUCCCGGCUACUCGGGAGGCUGAGGCAGGAGAAUGGCGUGAACCCGGGAGGCGGAGCUUGCAGUGAGCUGAGGUCGCGCCACUGCACCCCAGCCUGGGCGACAGAGCGAGACUCCGUCUCAAAAAAAAAAAAAAAAAAAAAUUCAUGCCUUAUUCUCAGAUUUUUAAUAGUGGCUCUAAGCAGUCUUAAAAAUUUAUUAUUUAGACACCUUAUCCUAUAUUUUAAAAAUAUUUUCUUAGUAUACUGUGGAUGUUAUACAAGUCAUGUAAUGGAUAGAGAAUUUCUUACAUAAAUUUACAAUAAAAUUUUUUAAAUAAAACUUUUGUGAAAUUAUUUUCAAAUGUUAUAAAUGUUAAUGAGUUUUGUUAUAUUGGUUCCAAUAUUUCUCACAUAUGGAAAAUGUCAUUUUCCCUGGGAAUUAAUAUUUGGAACUGGUGUUUAAGAAAAACCAUGUUUGAUGUUGGAAAAUGCUAUGUCCGGUAUAACUAUAGAUGUUUGGAAAGCAGCUCAGUUAUGCUAAAGAUAAAGAAAGGAGAGAAAAAUGACAGAAGGGGAGGUUUGAACAAAACAAAAUAAUACCUGAAAAUGUUGAAUGGAUAUGUAAUAUUUGUGAAUGUUUAUGUUCUCUAUUUCACCAUUAUUUAAACAUUUAUAUUUUCAAAGGGAGAAAAUAAUUAUAUUUUGAAAUCAUUUUAUUUUUUUAUAGAGUGCUGUAUUUUUUCUUUUCAAUUUCAAUUUGGUAAGCAAACAAAAUCAGUCAGAAUAUUAUACAUAAUUAGGUUUCCUUUUUGAGAUUUGUUGAAACUCUUUAUCCUUUAUGUAUGUAUUUCAAGUAGUAUAAUAAAAAAGAAAUAUAAAAUGAUUAGAUAUACAUAAAAGUAUUGUAGAUUAUGUUUUUCAUAUUUUCUUUCUUUUAAUGUAUUUUGCAGAUAUAGCCAUUCCAGAUUAUGAUUUCACAAACUAAGAUGAUUCUCAGUAGGGAAGCGUUACUGCAUGUCGUUUUCAUCAAAGGGAGCUUAGUUUAUUUGCCUGUCUGAAUAUUGACAUUAUAUUACUAAUUUACACAUUGGGGAAAGGGUCAAGAGAACUCCAAAUUUUUGUUGACUUGAUAUUAACCUGAAAGGGGAAUGUUAAUAAAUGACAAAAUAUAUCCACAGUAGUUAGACAUCAAGUUGUGUUUAUUUUUUUAAUCUACUGCAUAUUAUUGAAUUAUUUAGAUAGAUAGAUAGAUAGAUAGAUAGAUAGAUAGAUAGAUAGAUAGAUAGAUUGAUUUAUUAGAUGUACAGGAAAUAGAAUUCACUGGUGGGCAUGCGUAAAGAGGGGGCAGCUCUUUUCUAAUGCAGGGCUAGCUGCUUGUCCAGGGGCCCAUGAUUCCAGGGCUAUAUUUGGCCCCACAGCCAUCCAGGAUGAGUUGUUUCUCAGCCACCAAGUCUUAAAAUGUAUAUGCAUUAAACUUAGUAAAAUCGCACUUCUUUGAGAUGUGGCUUUUUGGGCAUUCACUGAACUUGAAUUUGGCCCUAAAUAAGGCCUCAGUCACAUGCUCCAGGGUUUGCAGCUUGGUAUGGAUGAACAUGGCCAAUGUGACAGUAAGUUGUAAAUUAUAGAAGUUGUGCUUAUCAAAAUCAUAUUCAGUGGGCAAUAUGGCCUUUAAUAUAAUGAAGUUUACUGAUAGGGAUCUGUGGAAUUUUGAACUUGAGAGUAUCUCAAGUUCUGGUGGGUAUCUGGUGGAAAAAAUUUCUAAGCAGCAAAGCAUUCAGGAGGUAAGCUCACUACUUCUGACAAACUAUUUUGAUGUGUGUGAGCAAAGAAAUGACCUCAAACUGAAACUUAUAUUUAGAAGGGAAGCAGAGUGUAGAAACUUGAAAAAUUUGCAGCCUGGCCAUGUGGUAGAACAAAAAGCCCAUUUUCAGGAGAGAAAUUCAAGCAAGCUGCAGAAACUUGCUUAACUAAAAGGAAGGCACAUGCUGAUAGCCAAGAAAAUGAGGGAUACCCUCCAGGGCAUUUCAGAG
This 3321-nucleotide long non-coding RNA is filed under the name Homo sapiens (human). RNAcentral's name for it is "non-protein coding lnc-SPATA31A7-11:1". The record is from RNAcentral. Lineage: Eukaryota; Metazoa; Chordata; Mammalia; Primates; Hominidae.